This 1557-nucleotide ribosomal RNA is filed under the name Halobacillus karajensis. Its description in RNAcentral is "bacterial SSU rRNA". It matches the Rfam family "Bacterial small subunit ribosomal RNA", at positions 8 to 1260 of the family's 1533-position model. The record is from RNAcentral. Lineage: Bacteria; Bacillati; Bacillota; Bacilli; Caryophanales; Bacillaceae.
AGAGUUUGAUCCUGGCUCAGGACGAACGCUGGCGGCGUGCCUAAUACAUGCAAGUCGAGCGCGGGAAGCGAGUGAAUCCCUUCGGGGUGAAGCUCGUGGAACGAGCGGCGGACGGGUGAGUAACACGUGGGCAACCUGCCUGUAAGACCGGAAUAACCCCGGGAAACCGGGGCUAAUGCCGGGUAAUACUUUUCUUCGCAUGAAGGAAAGUUGAAAGAUGGCUUCUUGCUAUCACUUACAGAUGGGCCCGCGGCGCAUUAGCUAGUUGGUGAGGUAACGGCUCACCAAGGCGACGAUGCGUAGCCGACCUGAGAGGGUGAUCGGCCACACUGGGACUGAGACACGGCCCAGACUCCUACGGGAGGCAGCAGUAGGGAAUCUUCCGCAAUGGACGAAAGUCUGACGGAGCAACGCCGCGUGAACGAUGAAGGUCUUCGGAUCGUAAAGUUCUGUUGUUAGGGAAGAACAAGUACCGUGCGAAUAGAGCGGUACCUUGACGGUACCUAACGAGGAAGCCCCGGCUAACUACGUGCCAGCAGCCGCGGUAAUACGUAGGGGGCAAGCGUUGUCCGGAAUUAUUGGGCGUAAAGCGCGCGCAGGCGGUUCCUUAAGUCUGAUGUGAAAGCCCACGGCUCAACCGUGGAGGGUCAUUGGAAACUGGGGAACUUGAGGACAGAAGAGGAGAGUGGAAUUCCACGUGUAGCGGUGAAAUGCGUAGAUAUGUGGAGGAACACCAGUGGCGAAGGCGACUCUCUGGUCUGUUUCUGACGCUGAGGUGCGAAAGCGUGGGUAGCAAACAGGAUUAGAUACCCUGGUAGUCCACGCCGUAAACGAUGAGUGCUAGGUGUUAGGGGGCUUCCACCCCUUAGUGCUGAAGUUAACGCAUUAAGCACUCCGCCUGGGGAGUACGGCCGCAAGGCUGAAACUCAAAGGAAUUGACGGGGGCCCGCACAAGCGGUGGAGCAUGUGGUUUAAUUCGAAGCAACGCGAAGAACCUUACCAGGUCUUGACAUCCUUGGACAUCCCUAGAGAUAGGGCUUUCCCUUCGGGGACCAAGUGACAGGUGGUGCAUGGUUGUCGUCAGCUCGUGUCGUGAGAUGUUGGGUUAAGUCCCGCAACGAGCGCAACCCCUAAUCUUAGUUGCCAGCAUUCAGUUGGGCACUCUAAGGUGACUGCCGGUGACAAACCGGAGGAAGGCGGGGAUGACGUCAAAUCAUCAUGCCCCUUAUGACCUGGGCUACACACGUGCUACAAUGGAUGGUACAAAGGGCAGCGAAGCCGNNNNNNNNNNNAGCAUCUCCUUGUUUAAAGCUGAGCAAAGGAUGAUAAUAAUGAUGGGUCGCAUACUGCAGAACUUCCUCACUAAUAUCUACUCCAAUCAUCUCUUUUAUUUUUGAAUUUUUGCCUGCACCCGUAAAAAGAUAAACAUCACAAAACUCAUAGGUCCUUUUAUUUUCUGUCUUGAUCCGUCCAUUUACAGCUGCUGUCUUCCCAUGUGUAAUAAUGUGGUGAAUGACUAAUUCCGAUACUUUGACAUACUCCAUUUUUUGGAUAUUU